CCCCUUGUCGUGUCGGGGUUAUGGCACGGCUUCCUCCCUGUUGGACCUGGCCGGGCCGCGUGCCCGGCCUUUUUU
Rhodobacteraceae bacterium CG2_30_10_405 is the source of this 75-nucleotide non-coding RNA. Lineage: Bacteria; Pseudomonadati; Pseudomonadota; Alphaproteobacteria; Rhodobacterales; Paracoccaceae. The record is from Rfam.